Quercus robur (English oak) is the source of this 2536-nucleotide RNA transcript. RefSeq lists it as uncharacterized. Lineage: Eukaryota; Viridiplantae; Streptophyta; Magnoliopsida; Fagales; Fagaceae. The transcript is spliced from 9 exons. The record is from RefSeq and is a predicted model, not a curated record.
UUAUUGUGGUUAUAAGGGGAGAAAUAAUUAUCUGUCACUAUCAAUAGAGGGUUCUCAGAAAGUGUAUCAAAUGACUUUUUGCUAAUUUGCUUAUGCCUGUAGGAUGUUAUUGUUUAAUGAUUGGUUACCCAUUACUCUCCCCUCUCUUAUAUUUGUUUUGCACUGUCUUCUAGAACGUUAAAUUAUUGCUUCAUGGAUGAUGGUCUUGGGAAGAAAAAGGUUAUCUCAAAUCACUCUAAAGCUUCAACAGCUAGAGUGGAUUCUCAUCCAAGCUUAACUUCAUCUGUUUCACAGCCACAAAUUGAUGAUUCUUCGAGGGAUUGUCUAAAAGUUUAUCAUCCUGGAUGUGUGGGAAAGAAAGUUUCAUUUUUGGAGGGCAGAGAAAGCUGGACUUGCAAUUGGCACUAUUGCUCAAUAUGCCAUAAAUCUCCAAAGUUUCAGUGCUUUUGCUGUCCUUAUGCCAUAUGUGAGUGCUGCAUGAAUGCUGCUGAGUUUGCACCAACUCGUGGGAAGAAGGGAUUCUGCAGUGAGUAUUUGAAGCUUGUUCUAUGUGCAGAAGAAAACGUGGAGUAUGAUUCUGAUGGGGCGUGAAAGAAACCUCAUCAGCUGGUAAAAUCAAUAGUGAAAUUCUCCUGCAAGCUUCCAGUGUGCCAAUGGACAUUCGCAUUUCCCUGCUGUCUGAUUCUGACUUCACCAAGGAGGAAUUGGAGGAUUUGCAGCAAAAAGUAAAAAACAGCGUGCACAAAAAACUGACUGUUGUAUGUUCUGUCAUUCAUAAGCAGUUAUCUCUCAUUUAUGUUGUUUUUAGUAAGUACUCUUUUCAAAGUUUCUUACCUGGCAAAAGUUUUUUUUUUUUUAAGAAAGGAAAUAAAAAAUAAUAAUAAUAAAUUACCAAAGGAAGAACAAUCCUAUGCAUGAUUAUUCUACAAUGAGAUGAAUUUUAAAGUUUUAGAUUUGAACACAGUUACAUUUACAGAAAAGACUGAAAAUCCAUAUGGUGCCUAUCUGAAAACUAUGCAAUGGCAGAACAUGUUUUUGAGAAGAAAAAAGCAAUGAAAAGUUAUCUUUGUUCUCUCAAGAAAAGUUUUCUAGCUAAUUUAAUUAGACGUCAAUUUUUUCUGGCAUUGAAAUCUCUUUUUCUAAACUAAAAGAACCACCCAUUUUUUUUUUAUCUGAACUAAAUUCUUCAACUAUAUUCUGUAAAAAGAUCUUCAGAAAUAAGGCUACAAAUUAUCUAUCAAAAAAAGUAAGCUAUAAAUUGUUAGGAAUUUGGUAAACUAUCUUACCAUCUUCUCACCUCAACUUGAACAUCCCAUCAUCUUGUGGAAAUUCUCUUCAUUUCCAUUGCAUGUCUGUUUAAAAAUUUACUUAGAUAAUUGCAUGCUAUUGAUGUCCAUUUGUUGCGUGAAACAAUUACCUAGGUAUACUUAGAUAAUUACACGCUUUUCAUGUAUCUUAACUAUGUGAAACCAUCACCUAGAUUAUGGGAAAGCGGUAGCACUGGUUGCAGAAACUAUGUAUAAAGUAAAGAAGGUAGAUAUUUACACUGAUCUCAAAAACAUAUAUGCUGGUAUUAAGUCAUGCAAGAAUUAAUUACCAAGCAGAUAAAUAAACAAAAUAAAUAAAUAAAUUCCAGGACUAGAUGACUUCCUGGACCUUGUCAAACAAUCUUAGAAGUUGUGGGAUGCCUUUCAGGUGGUUGGCAAUGGACUUUAUUCAGUUGCUACAGAGGUGUAUAGUUGGGGAAGUGGUGCAAACUAUCAACUUGGAACUGGCAAUGAACACAUACAAAAAUUACCAUGUAAAGUUGAUUCACUUCAUGGUUCUUAUAUCAAGUUGGUUUCUUUUGCAAAGUUCCAUAGUGUAGCAGUCAGUGCCCGAGGAGAGGUCUAUACUUGGGGAUUUGGAAGGGGGGGCCGCCUUGGGCACCCUGACUUUGAUAUACACAGUGGUCAAGCUGCAGUUAUCACGCCCCGUCAGGUGACUUCUGGUUUAGGGUCCCGUCGGGUGAAGGCAAUUGCAGCAGCUAAACAUCACACUGUUGUCGCUACAGAGGGUGGGAAAGUAUUCACUUGGGGAUCCAACAGAGAUACAAAUGAUACGGGAUCCCCAGCGACAACUUGAGAUGGUGGGAGUUCCAGAGGAGCAUUUGUCUGGUCAUGCAUUUCAUAUGUAUCAUUUGACAUCACCUGAUCAAACAGUUUCCUUUGAGUUUCAACAUAACGUUUGUGGUAGAUCAAUAUAUGCAGAGGGCACCGUUGAUGCUGUAAUAUUCCUUGCCAAGAAGGUGCUAAUGCUUCCAACCAAGUUGAAUCCCAAGUCUACUAACAUCCUUUUCCAUCUGUUCUGGCUUCAAUUUGUCCAAUGGAACAUUGGUUGACUACUUUUUUCAUUUGAUAUGUAUGGUGCCAACACUGAAUUGCUUCAAAAUUUCUUUUUCUAUUUUUGGAUAUUUUUGUAGAACUUUAAUAUGAUAUCAAUUAGUGACAAAGUUGUAUCAUGCUGAGGUGCAGCUAGGUGGACAAUGAGGUCAUUG